This 2232-nucleotide long non-coding RNA is filed under the name Brassica rapa (field mustard). RNAcentral describes it as "long non-coding RNA (BRAP_LNC001003)". Lineage: Eukaryota; Viridiplantae; Streptophyta; Magnoliopsida; Brassicales; Brassicaceae. The record is from RNAcentral.
CGUCAGCAAACUCUCUCUUCUUUUGGUGGGCCUUACUUACACGAUAAAUAUUUAUUAUACGAUCGCGUUUUCGUCUGAAUUAUUUAUUGGGUUAGAAAAAUCUUCUUUCUCUUAACUUUUUAUCUUCAGUAUCUCUUCGGCUUCUUCUCUUUCUCAGGGGUGAAACAGAGACUGCUAGGUUACAAGGAAGUAGAUGAAACACAACAAACAACAGAUUUCAAACAAAAAGAUUUGGAACAUGGGGAAGAACACGAAGGAGGCUACGCCUCGACCUCCGAUGAACACCGACGGCAUGGAGAUUCAGUUAUCUGGUCAUCACUACGACGGGGUGUCCAUGCCAGCCGAUAGAACUGUCGCCGGUGUACUUUCAAAGCACCGCCGUCUAGGAGGGGGUCCUGCGGCCACAUAACGUCGGAUUCGCAAAGAACACUGACUCCCACUACAAAAAAAUUGUUGUUUAGCAUCAUUUAUUUUGUAUUUUUGCAUUAGUUAUAAAUGAUGUAAAAUAAUUUUGCAUCAUUUAUAUAAAUGACUCUGAAAGUGGUGAUGCAAAUAAUUCACAUCGUUUUGUUAAUAAUUGAUGUAAAAAUGCUAAAUAUUUACAUCAACUAUUAUAAAUGAUGUAAAAUAUAUAUCAAUUACAAUAACUGAUAUUAAUGUUACAAUUAAAAAUAAUUGAUGUAAAAUAUUCUUUUCAUUGAUGUUACAAUUAAAAAUAAGAAAAUUACAAAAACAAGAAAACAAAAGAACACAAUUAAAAAAACAGAUAAACAUAGUUCGCCGUAAGAGUUCUUCGAUCAAGUUUCUUCUUCUUCCAAUUCUCUGUAUCUUUUGCUGUUGGUUGUAGGGUUUUAAGCUAAUAGUUUCUUCUACAAAUAAAACCAUAAUCAUCAUCACUCAUAUAAGAAAAUACCGAUUCAUAGACAAAAACAAUAUAAAGAAAAGUUUGCAUCAGAUUGUCACUAUUGACUAACCUUAACCAAUGGUUCCUGAGGUAAACAAUAAUAGACUUCACGAAGGUUCCAAGAAUAUUAUUUCAGAUCUGCAGAUUCAACCUCUCUUAAACUGUGUUAAAGAAUUGUGUGUGGAAGAAAAGACUUUGCAAAAAAGAUGUAAAGGAUCGUUGCUUUUAUUCAGUUGAUUUCUUAUUAGAAGGAAACGUGAACUAGUGGUGAGAUAAAAUAGGAGAUAUUGCUAUAUUUUUGGUAACAAACAUAUAGAUUUUUAAUGGUUUACAAUUUUCUUUACAAAACAAUUUAACGCAGUACAUAUAUAAGAUUAACUAUUAACAUUUAUUAAUUAGGUCGAAAAUUUAAAAUAUUAGUUGUAAAAAAAUAGAAUAAUUUCUUUCUUUUAAUUAAAUAUGUAUUCUAGUGAGUAUAAAAAUGUUUUUUUUAAUAUAGAUUUUCAGAUUCUUUAUUUAGUUAAUAUAUAUGUUAUAUUUUUAAUAUUAAAAAUAUCAAUUAAUGUAGCUUACUUAUUAAAUCAAUUCGAAAUAGUUUAUCAAAGCAUAAAAAAUCGUUUAUAAGCAGAAAUGAUCUACGUACAUAUUAGUAACUAAUGAAAAUUAUGUUAGUAUCAUUUUUAUCAUUGAUGUCAAAUUUGCAACAUUUAUUAAAAUGAUUUUACUUUUGAAUCAUUUAAUAAGUGAUGUAAACUCAUAUUUUCUAUCAUUUUUCAAAAAGUGAUGUAAACUAAUAAAGAUUUGCAUCAAUUUCAUUCAAUCGAUGCCAAACAAGUUAAUAACCGCAUCGUUUGUAUCAUUUCCUAAUAAGUAAUUCUAAAUAGUAUCAUUUAUUUUUGUGAUUCUAUUUAAGUGAUGUAAUAUGAUCCUUUUUUUGUAGUGUCCCUAUCUCUCCAUAUUGACUGCGAAGAGGCUCCACCACUCAUAGGUCCGAACAAUCACAUGAUCCUCCUCCUACACUCACCGUUCGAGAAGUAACUAUGUCGGAAAGUAAACGAACCUGGAGAACCGCCUUCUCCGUGGUAGAUCCGCCGUCAAACGAGCCCCUCCCAACAGAUCGAUACAAACCCUAGAAAUUCCAAUGACUGAUUUUCAUUAUUCGCCGGGGCUCCACCGUCCUCUAGCAGAGCAACACCUUCGACCAACGAGCCGCCAGGACCCAUGAGGCACUCCUAGGGAUCCGCCGCGCCAUGGAUUGAAAAACGGUAUCGGAAAAAGGAGAAGAGAAGCACCACUGAAACGUCACCGGAUGCCAACUACUUCGUCAG